This 460-nucleotide ribosomal RNA is filed under the name uncultured bacterium. RNAcentral's name for it is "partial 16S ribosomal RNA". It matches the Rfam family "Bacterial small subunit ribosomal RNA", at positions 338 to 795 of the family's 1533-position model. The record is from RNAcentral.
CCUACGGGGUGCUGCAGUGAGGAAUAUUGGUCAAUGGACGAGAGUCUGAACCAGCCAAGUAGCGUGAAGGAUGACCGCCCUAUGGGUUGUAAACUUCUUUUAUAUGGGAAUAAAAUGUUCCACGUGUGGGAUUUUGUAUGUACCAUAUGAAUAAGGAUCGGCUAACUCCGUGCCAGCAGCCGCGGUAAUACGGAGGAUCCGAGCGUUAUCCGGAUUUAUUGGGUUUAAAGGGAGCGUAGGUGGAUUGUUAAGUCAGUUGUGAAAGUUUGCGGCUCAACCGUAAAAUUGCAGUUGAAACUGGCAGUCUUGAGUACAGUAGAGGUGGGCGGAAUUCGUGGUGUAGCGGUGAAAUGCUUAGAUAUCACGAAGAACUCCGAUUGCGAAGGCAGUUCACUGGACUGCAACUGACACUGAGGCUCGAAAGUGUGGGUAUCAAACAGGAUUAGAUACCCGGGUAGUC